UACGAAGGGGGCUAGCGUUGUUCGGAAUUACUGGGCGUAAAGCGCACGUAGGCGGACUAUUAAGUCAGGGGUGAAAUCCCGGGGCUCAACCCCGGAACUGCCUUUGAUACUGGUAGUCUCGAGUCCGGAAGAGGUGAGUGGAAUUCCGAGUGUAGAGGUGAAAUGCGCAGAUAUCAGGAGGAACACCAAUGGCGAAGGCAGCUCGCUGGGACGGUACUGACGCUGAGGCGCGAAAGCGUGGGUAGCAAACAGG
Molecule: ribosomal RNA, 253 nt
Filed under: uncultured bacterium
Lineage: Bacteria
Description: partial 16S ribosomal RNA
Rfam family: Bacterial small subunit ribosomal RNA
Source: RNAcentral